Molecule: ribosomal RNA, 489 nt
Filed under: uncultured bacterium
Lineage: Bacteria
Description: partial 16S ribosomal RNA
Rfam family: Bacterial small subunit ribosomal RNA
Source: RNAcentral
UUGAACGCUGGCGGCAGGCCUAACACCUGCAAGUCGAACGGUAACAGGGAUCAGCUUGCUGAUUCGCUGACGAGUGGCGGACGGGUGAGUAAUGUCUGGGAAACUGCCUGAUGGAGGGGGAUAACUACUGGAAACGGUAGCUAAUACCGCAUAACGUCGCAAGACCAAAGAGGGGGACCUUCGGGCCUCUUGCCAUCGGAUGUGCCCAGAUGGGAUUAGCUAGUAGGUGGGGUAACGACUCACCUAGGCGACGAUCCCUAGCUGGUCUGAGAGGAUGACCAGCCACACUGGAACUGAGACACGGUCCAGACUCCUACGGGAGGCAGCAGUGGGGAAUAUUGCACAAUGGGCGCAAGCCUGAUGCAGCCAUGCCGCGUGUAUGAAGAAGGCCUUCGGGUUGUAAAGUACUUUCAGCGGGGAGGAAGGGAGUAAAGUUAAUACCUUGGCUCAUUGACGUUACCCGCAGAAGAAGCACCGGCUAACUCCGUG